GUGAGUCCUUUAAUGAAAGUGGUAGGAUUUUGGUGAGAUCCUCUCACAAAACCAAUUCCACUUCUAUUUGCGACGUGACCCUUAUUUGCAAGGAUCAUGUCCAAUCCCUUGCUACCGACCUUAAACUUGUUUAAGGUCUCUUUAAGUAGCAAAUUCUCAUUUUUUAUUGCUUCUAAGUAUUCACACUUAGAGCAUGGAGGAG
RNAcentral lists this long non-coding RNA (202 nucleotides) under Musa acuminata (dwarf banana). Its description in RNAcentral is "long non-coding RNA (MACU_LNC003270)". The record is from RNAcentral. Lineage: Eukaryota; Viridiplantae; Streptophyta; Magnoliopsida; Zingiberales; Musaceae.